RNAcentral lists this ribosomal RNA (450 nucleotides) under uncultured bacterium. Its description in RNAcentral is "partial 16S ribosomal RNA". It matches the Rfam family "Bacterial small subunit ribosomal RNA", at positions 354 to 796 of the family's 1533-position model. The record is from RNAcentral.
GUGGGGAAUAUUGGACAAUGGGCGAAAGCCUGAUCCAGCCAUGCCGCGUGUGUGAAGAAGGUCUUCGGAUUGUAAAGCACUUUAAGUUGGAAGGAAGGGCAGUAAGCUAAUACCUUGCUGUUUUGACGUUACCGACAGAAUAAGCACCGGCUAACUUCGUGCCAGCAGCCGCGGUAAUACGAAGGGUGCAAGCGUUAAUCGGAAUUACUGGGCGUAAAGCGCGCGUAGGGGGUUUUGUAAGUUGGAGGUGAAAUCCCCGGGCUCAACCUGGGAACUGCCUCCAAAACUACUGUGCUAGAGUACGGUAGAGGGUAGUGGAAUUUCCUGUGUAGCGGUGAAAUGCGUAGAUAUAGGAAGGAACACCAGUGGCGAAGGCGACUACCUGGACUGAUACUGACACUGAGGUGCGAAAGCGUGGGGAGCAAACAGGAUUAGAAACCCCGGUAGUCC